AUCAUUAACUGAAUCCAUAGGUUAAUGAGGCGAACCGGGGGAACUGAAACAUCUAAGUACCCCGAGGAAAAGAAAUCAACCGAGAUUCCCCCAGUAGCGGCGAGCGAACGGGGAGGAGCCCAGAGCCUGAAUCAGCAUGUGUGUUAGUGGAAGCGUCUGGAAAGGCGCGCGAUACAGGGUGACAGCCCCGUACACAAAAGCGCAUGUGCUGUGAGCUCGAUGAGUAGGGCGGGACACGUGGUAUCCUGUCUGAAUAUGGGGGGACCAUCCUCCAAGGCUAAAUACUCCUGACUGACCGAUAGUGAACCAGUACCGUGAGGGAAAGGCGAAAAGAACCCCGGCGAGGGGAGUGAAAAAGAACCUGAAACCGUGUACGUACAAGCAGUGGGAGCCCCACCACUAAGCCAGUGGUGAACUCCACAUACGCAUCCUUUGCUGAGGAUACGGUUAACGGAGCGAAAGCGACGUUCAACCUCAAAAGAAGCAGAGGGGGCUUAGUGGUGGGGUGACUGCGUACCUUUUGUAUAAUGGGUCAGCGACUUAUAUUCUGUAGCAAGGUUAACCGUAUAGGGGAGCCGGAGGGAAACCGAGUCUUAACCGGGCGUUAAGUUGCAGGGUAUAGACCCGAAACCCGGUGAUCUAGCCAUGGGCAGGUUGAAGGUUGGGUAACACUAACUGGAGGACCGAACCGACUAAUGUUGAAAAAUUAGCGGAUGACCUGUGGCUGGGGGUGAAAGGCCAAUCAAACCGGGAGAUAGCUGGUUCUCCCCGAAAGCUAUUUAGGUAGCGCCUCGUGAAUUCAUCUCCGGGGGUAGAGCACUGUUUCGGCUAGGGGGCCAUCCCGGCUUACCAACCCGAUGCAAACUGCGAAUACCGGAGAAUGUUAUCACGGGAGACACACGGCGGGUGCUAACGUCCGUCGUGAAGAGGGAAACAACCCAGACCGCCAGCUAAGGUCCCAAAGUCAUGGUUAAGUGGGAAACGAUGUGGGAAGGCCCAGACAGCCAGGAUGUUGGCUUAGAAGCAGCCAUCAUUUAAAGAAAGCGUAAUAGCUCACUGGUCGAGUCGGCCUGCGCGGAAGAUGUAACGGGGCUAAACCAUGCACCGAAGCUGCGGCAGCGAACGUAUCACUUAAAGCGAUUCAGCGGAUGACGAUUGACGGA
This 1163-nucleotide ribosomal RNA is filed under the name Salmonella enterica. Its description in RNAcentral is "partial 23S ribosomal RNA". It matches the Rfam family "Bacterial large subunit ribosomal RNA", at positions 150 to 1228 of the family's 2925-position model. Lineage: Bacteria; Pseudomonadati; Pseudomonadota; Gammaproteobacteria; Enterobacterales; Enterobacteriaceae. The record is from RNAcentral.